Molecule: ribosomal RNA, 403 nt
Filed under: Fusobacteriota bacterium
Lineage: Bacteria; Fusobacteriati; Fusobacteriota
Description: Fusobacteria bacterium partial 16S ribosomal RNA
Rfam family: Bacterial small subunit ribosomal RNA
Source: RNAcentral
UGGGGAAUAUUGCACAAUGGGGGAAACCCUGAUGCAGCGACGCCGCGUGAGCGAAGAAGGUUUUCGAAUCGUAAAGCUCUGUCCUAUGGGAAGAUAAUGACGGUACCAUAGCAGGAAGCCCCGGCUAACUACGUGCCAGCAGCCGCGGUAAUACGUAGGGGGCAAGCGUUGUCCGGAAUCACUGGGCGUAAAGGGUUCGCAGGCGGAAAUGCAAGUCAGUUGUGAAAGGCAGAGGCUCAACCUCUGUAAGCAAUUGAAACUGUAUUUCUUGAGAUGUGGAGAGGCAAGGGGAAUUCCUAGUGUAGCGGUGAAAUGCGUAGAUAUUAGGAAGAAUCCCGGUGGCGAAGGCGACUUGCUGGACACAAACUGACGCUGAGGAACGAAAGCGUGGGUAGCAAACAGG